Molecule: transfer RNA, 61 nt
Filed under: Podarcis lilfordi (Lilford's wall lizard)
Lineage: Eukaryota; Metazoa; Chordata; Lepidosauria; Squamata; Lacertidae
Description: tRNA.Pro
Rfam family: tRNA
About the family: Transfer RNA (tRNA) molecules are approximately 80 nucleotides in length.
Source: RNAcentral
GCAGCUUAGUGGUAGAGCAUCUGCUUUGGACGCAGAAUGUCCUAGAUUCAUUCCCCAGGCA